This is a non-coding RNA of Vararia minispora EC-137, 79 nucleotides long. NCBI's taxonomy places the organism in Eukaryota, Fungi, Basidiomycota, Agaricomycetes, Russulales, Lachnocladiaceae. The record is from the annotation of a GenBank genome assembly.
UCGGAUAUGGUGUAACGGCUAACAUUGCCGCCUCUCAUGAAGACCGCGGCAGCUCGGGGUUCGAUUCCCCGUAUCCGAA